GAUGAACGCUGGCGGCGUGCUUAACACAUGCAAGUCGAACGGGAAACCUUUUAUUGAAUCUUCGGCAGGUUUAGCUGGUUUCUAGUGGCGGACGGGUUAGUAACGCGUGGGUAACCUGCCUUAUACAGGGGGAUAACAGUCAGAAAUGGCUGCUAAUACCGCAUCAGCGCACAGGGCUGCAUGUCUCAGUGUGAAAAACUGCGGUGGUAGCAUAUGGACCCGCGUUGGUGUAGCUGGUUGGUGGGGUAACGGCCCACCACGGCGACGAUCCAUACCCGGCCUGAGAGGGGGAAAGGCCACAUUGGGACUAGGACACGGACCAGACUCCUACGGGACGCAGCAGUGGGGAACAUUGCACAAUGGGGGAAGACCUGAUGAAGCGACGCCGCGUGAAGGAAGAAGUAUCUCGGUAUGUAAACUUCUAUCAGCAGGGAAGAUAAUGACGGUACCUGACUAAGAAGCCCCGGCUAACUACGUG
RNAcentral lists this ribosomal RNA (478 nucleotides) under uncultured bacterium. RNAcentral describes it as "partial 16S ribosomal RNA". It matches the Rfam family "Bacterial small subunit ribosomal RNA", at positions 28 to 507 of the family's 1533-position model. The record is from RNAcentral.